Molecule: ribosomal RNA, 497 nt
Filed under: uncultured bacterium
Lineage: Bacteria
Description: partial 16S ribosomal RNA
Rfam family: Bacterial small subunit ribosomal RNA
Source: RNAcentral
GAUGAACGCUGGCGGCGUGCCUAAUACAUGCAAGUCGAGCGAACAGACGAGGAGCUUGCUCCUCUGACGUUAGCGGCGGACGGGUGAGUAACACGUGGAUAACCUACCUAUAAGACUGGGAUAACUUCGGGAAACCGGAGCUAAUACCGGAUAAUAUAUUGAACCGCAUGGUUCAAUAGUGAAAGACGGUUUUGCUGUCACUUAUAGAUGGAUCCGCGCCGCAUUAGCUAGUUGGUAAGGUAACGGCUUACCAAGGCGACGAUGCGUAGCCGACCUGAGAGGGUGAGCGGCCACACUGGAGCUGAGACACGGUCCAGACUCCUACGGGAGGCAGCAGUAGGGAAUCUUCCGCAAUGGGCGAAAGCCUGACGGAGCAACGCCGCGUGAGUGAUGAAGGUCUUCGGAUCUUAAACCUCUGUUAUUAGGGAAGAACAAAUGUGUAAGUAACUAUGCACGUCUUGACGGUACCUAAUCAGAAAGCCACGGCUAACUACGUG